Molecule: long non-coding RNA, 266 nt
Organism: Rhipicephalus sanguineus (brown dog tick)
Lineage: Eukaryota; Metazoa; Arthropoda; Arachnida; Ixodida; Ixodidae
Exons: 3
Source: RefSeq, a predicted model, not a curated record
AUCUUGAAAGGAGCUUGUAUCACGAUACAACACACAUGUCGUCCCUCACCGUGGAACAGGGACCAGGUGGCGUGGAAGUGGUAACGGUGAUAAUGCUGACGAUUCCGAGAGCUUUCACUGUGCAGCUCAUUACGCAGAAAGAGCAGAAAUCCCACCGCGACCAGUUGAGGUCUUUAUCGUCGAGAUAUGUGUUGUGGUAAGCAAGAAUUACACAGCAGCGUUCAACUCAAGCGAAGAUCUCGUGAUGUACAUUGGUGCAAUGAUGA